Molecule: transfer RNA, 57 nt
Filed under: Camelus bactrianus (Bactrian camel)
Lineage: Eukaryota; Metazoa; Chordata; Mammalia; Artiodactyla; Camelidae
Also listed under: 2 other names
Rfam family: tRNA
About the family: Transfer RNA (tRNA) molecules are approximately 80 nucleotides in length. Their secondary structure includes four short double-helical elements and three loops (D, anti-codon, and T loops).
Source: Rfam by way of RNAcentral
UAGCUCAGUGGUAGAGCGUGUGCUUAGCAUGCAUGAGGUCCUGGGUUCAAUCCCCAG